GUAAUCCUCACACUUUCUGUAGCUGUUGGAACUAUGGUGCAUUGUGGUUCUAACAACUACAGAAAGUGUGAAAAUCAC
MicroRNA precursor from Bison bison bison, 78 nucleotides. NCBI's taxonomy places the organism in Eukaryota, Metazoa, Chordata, Mammalia, Artiodactyla, Bovidae. The record is from Ensembl.